This 329-nucleotide ribosomal RNA is filed under the name uncultured eukaryote. RNAcentral's name for it is "partial 18S ribosomal RNA". It matches the Rfam family "Eukaryotic small subunit ribosomal RNA", at positions 1470 to 1796 of the family's 1831-position model. The record is from RNAcentral.
CCCUUAGAUGUUCUGGGCCGCACGCGCGCUACACUGAUGCAUUCAACGAGUCUAAAACCUGCUCUGAUAGGGGUGGGUAAUCUUUUGAAUGUGCAUCGUGAUUGGGAUAGAUGAUUGCAAUUUUUCAUCUUCAACGAGGAGUGCCUAGUAAACGCAAGUCAUCAGCUUGCAUUGAUUACGUCCCUGCCCUUUGUACACACCGCCCGUCGCUCCUACCGAUUGAAUGAUCCGAUGAAUAUCAUGGAUUGAGGAUGUAAGCAGGUUCGCCUGUCUUCAUCUUCGAGAAGUGAAGUAAAUCUUAUCAUUUAGAGGAAGGAGAAGUCGUAACA